AAUGUUUAACAAUAGGAAAUAUUCAAGAAUAAAUAAAAUAAAAGUUUAAUCCUAACAACACAAAACAUUCCAGGAAUGUAGGUACUACCGUUCUAUUCCGUGAACAUCUAUCUGAUUAAAUUAUGGGUGGAAAGUUACCACAAGAUAUUCUAUGAACAUAGUACAAUGUCUUCCUGGAGGGGUAAAAUUUUCCAUUACAAGAUUUUAAGAGAGGCCAUUUAUUGUACUGUUCAAUUUGCGUUCAUUUUCAAAUUUGCCGCGCGAGUAUCUAUGUAGCGUCUCGUGGUCAUUGGUCAUCACAUUUCAUUUUCAUAACAUAACCGAUAACCUAAAAAUUUAGUAAAGUAAAAAUUUUGAUUGGAAAAAAAUGCAUCGAUAAGGGGGUGUGGGAAAUGGAAAUUAGUGGCUUUUUUGCUGUACUGCCUGCUAGUUUUUGCUCUGGGCUCUGGCUAGAUCUCUUGUUUAAACAAUUUUAAUCAGCUGAAAGUGGCCUACAAAAAAAAACCAAGAAGGAAAUGUAUAGCCUUGUGGCUAUGAAAGGCAAAAGAGAGAUAUAAAAAGUGUAUUGGCUAGUUGGAAGAAAGUCCACAUUGUCCAUGCAUAAUAAGUUAUUACUUUAUCAACAAAUAUCAAGAAGAUAGCAGGGUCACGAGCAUCAACUUCAUAAGUUCAAGAAUAUCGAGGAAAUCCAGCUCCUCGAUACUACUGGGCAAACUAGAAGAUUGAAGAGGACAAAUCCUUUUGAACUAGUUUGAGUGAUAGGUGAUAGUGAAAAACGGAGCAUAGUGCUUGUGUGCUGUGCCUGUGUAUGUUAGAAUAAUAGUGCACGAUCUUGUUAGAUUAGAUAAGAGACGCUAUGGGGUAAGCUCUUCAUUUUAAGAAACAAUAGUAAUUUAGGUUAAAUUAAAAUUGCUCAUUGGUCAGUUAUGACCAGAUUGUUUUUUUAUGUUUGGCAAAAAGGACUUACGUCAGAAUUGCACAUUGAUAAUGUUUUGAUGAUUUCUGGACCAGAAAAAAACUGUUGUAGAUGUAAACUGUAUGUACAGUAGAAUCUACUACAGUACUGUAGAAAUCAUCAAAACAUUAUCGAUGUGCAAUUCUGACUUAAGCCCUUUUUCCCAAACAUCAGAGAAUUGUAAUGUACAAUAAUUCUCCUAUCUGCUUUUUCAUGAAUUUUGUAGGAGACGAAAAACCAUUUUUAGGAUCAUCUGCUUUCACAUGUAAAUUUUGACAUGUUUUGUAGUAAAUAGAUAGUUGAAUUUACUACAAAACAUGUCAAAAAAUAUAUGAAAACAGGAGGUGACUAUAAAAAAAGUUUUUAGUCUCUCUUACAAAACUCAUGAAAAAACAAAUCGGAGGUAUGUCACAUCAGUGACUAAGAAUGUCUAAAAAAUAUACUUUGAUGUCCCAAGAACCAAAUAUAACCUACAGUCCAUCUAAUUUACUUACUGUUGCACGUCAUUAUCUACGCCAGAGAUCUAAGUUGACAUAGUUGCCAAAGUAUAAAAAGAUCCUGAAUCCAUUUUAAAUCAAAUAUGUCACAUAAUUAUUGUAAACGUGGAUUAUACAACAAAACAAAUUAAUAUUCAAUGUAAAUAAGUAAAAACUUAAGAAAUAGAGAACAAGAAUUAAGUUAUAAUCUUUUAAGAUUUGCAGUGCAAGAGUUUUUGCACUGCAUUGUUAAUAAUUAAAAAACGGCUCCGAACUCUUGGCAAAAAGCCGGUAGGUUUCUUUGUAUAAGUAUGUCUACAAUAACAACUAAAAAAGUUGUCAGAUACCUCGAUUAUUCCAAGUCAUUAUAAAAUUAGGUGAAAUUUAUAUUUUUAUAGUAGAGGAUCUUUUUAUAGUAAAGUAAAUAAUAAAAACAGUAAAUAUAAUAGAUAAAACAGAUAUUUAUAGUAAAGAAUAUAAACAAAUAUGAAGUGUCAUCACCGUAACUGUCAAAUAAAUGUUACCAAUUUAUUCUAAAAUGUCACCUUCGUUCGAUUACAGUUACAGUGUGAUCCGAACAAAUCUGCUUCAUAAAAACGCUUUAUAAUCCAUUUAUACAAAUUAAAUGAAACAUAUUAUUGUGUAUUUCUUUAGGUUAACAUUAAUAGAAAUCUUCAAAUAUUAUUUCUACGCGUAUAUAAUAAAAUAUGUCUAGUGGCUGUAAUUCCAGUGUACUCGGCAAAGUGAUUCUAAAAAAGAACACACCUACCGCCUAAAUAUUUCGUGUUGGUAUCAUGCAACCUCACAGGCUACGACGCGGAUGACGUGCAACAGUUAGUAAAUUAGACGAAGUAUGUAGAUAUAUACAGGGUGUAACAAAAAUACAGGUCAUAAAUUUAAUCACAUAUUCUGGGACCAAAAAUAGUUUGAUUGGACCUAACUUACCUUAGUACAAAUGUGCACACAAGAAAAGUUACAGCCCUUUGAAGUUAUAUAUAUAUAAUAGCACCAAGGGUCUUAGAGGCCCAUGGCUUGAAAAGUUUGUUUUUUUUCUUCAUUUUCACGUUUCUUUAUGUACUGAGAUCUUCUCUGGCUUGAUAUGUGAUUUUUCUCCAUUCCUUCCUGUUAUUCAUUUUUCUUUUCUGACCCUGUAGCACCAUUCUUUCCAAAUCUUUUUCGACCUCUUGCUUCCAUCUAUUUUUCGGCCUUCCUCUUCUCUUUCUUGAAGCUGUAGUGUAGUUUAGUACCAUUUUUGGAGUCCUCGUGUUUGGCAUCCUUUCAAUGUAACCUCGCCAUCUAAGUCUCUGUGCCUUUAUCAUUCAUUUGAAGUUACAAGAUGAAGUGAUUUUUUCCAAUAUAUCGAAAACUAUUAGAGAUUUUUUAUUGAAAAUGGACAUGUGGCAUUAUUAUGGCAGCCGAGAUGGCAGCAGUAUCUUACGAAAAAACUAUAGUAAAAUUUGGACACCCCAUAAAAAUUUUAUGGGGGUUUUGUUCCUUUAAACCCCCCCAAACUUUUGUGCACGUUUCAAUUUAAUUAUUAUUGUAGUACCAUUUAAACACAACGUUUUAAAAACUUUUUUGCCUCUUAUUGCUUUUUCGAAAAGUCAAUUUUUAUCGAAAUAUUUUGAAUAUUUGUCAAAUCCACCACAUAUUUGUAUAUGGUUAAGUACGAUUAUGGAGACUUGGUAAUAAUAUGCAGACUUAUUUAUGCUUUACAUUUUUAGGGAUAUUUUGAACCAUAUUAAAAAAGAAGCCAGAUCUCGAUAAAAUGUGCCUUAUCGAAAAAAUACAAAGAGGCAAAAAAGUUUUAAAAACAUUCUGUUUAACUAAUGGUACCUCAGUAAUAGUUUAAUUGGAACGUACACAAACAUUUGGGGGGUUUAAAGGAACAAAACCCCCAUAAAAUUUUUAUGUAGACAUGUUAAAAAAGAAGUCGCAACUCGAUAAAAACUGCCUUAUCUGAAAAAUACUAAGAAACAAAAAUAUUGAAUUUAACUAAUGGUACCACAAUAAUAAAAUUGAAUUGGAACAUACACAAAAGUUUGGGAGGAUCUAAGGGAUCAAAACCCCCAUAAAAUUUUUAUGGGGUGCAAAAAUGUCACCAUAAUUUUUCUUUAAGAUAUUCCUGCCAUAAUACUGCCACAUGUCCAUUUUCAAUAAAAAAUCGCUAAUAGUUUUCGAUAUAAUCGAAAAAAUCGAUUUUCAUUUUGUAAUUUCAAAGGGCUGUAACUUUUUUUAUGUGCAUAUUUGUACUAAGGUAAGUUAGGUUCAUUCAAACUAUUUUUGGUCCCAGAAUAUGUGAUUUAAUUUAUGACGUGUAUUUUUGUUACACCCUGUAUAUACAGCCGAUUACGCACCACCUUAAAAAUUGGGCAUUUUUGAUGUCUCGAAUUUCCUAAACCUGUUGUUGCAUCUAAGUGAUUUUUUUAUAAUAUUCUAGCCUAGGCCCUAGGCUAUAGGUUAAGUACCUCCUUAUGCUUGUCAUGCACGGGGAGCUAUACUGUAAUAUAUAUUAUAUCACAUCGCACUCUAUAGUAAUGAGUGAGCCUGCACAUAUGGAACCAUUUGUUUUCUGUCUGCAGGCUCACUCAUUACUAUAGAGAGCGAUAUGAUAUAAUGUACAUAUAUUACAGCAUAGCUCCCUGUGCAUGACAAGCUUAAGGAGGUAACCUAUAGCCUAGGCUAUAAUAUUAUAAAAAAAUCACUUAGAUGAAACAACAGGUUUAGGAAAUACGAGACAUAAAAAAUACCCCAUAUUUAAGGUGGUGCGUUAAUUUCUUGGAGAAGUGUAUUGUAAUUUAAUGUAAAUAAUGUAAUAUCCAAUAAUUGUAAUUUAAUAUAAGAUGUAAUAUAAGUUCCUUAAAAAAUAUAUUUUUUAUUUCCCACGACAUUAGAUGGAUGUUCGGCAGCAAGACAUUGGACCAAACUGGGACGUCCUAUGAAGGCCCAAUUGACGUCCACCGAACGUCCCUUCGGAUGUUAAGUGGACCUCCAUUGGGCGUUUGGUAACGUGGCAUUUGGACCAAAAUUGGACGUCCUGUUAAGGUCCAAUUCACGUCCCCUAGAACGUCCGGUUAAUGUCCAAUUUACUUCCGAUUAAGGUCCAAUUUACGUCCGAUUAAGGUCCCAUUUACGUCCGAUUAAGGUCCAAUUUACGUCCUAUUAAGGUCCAAUUUACGUCCGAUUAAGGUCCAAUUUACGUCCGAUUAAGGUCCCAUUUACGUCCCAUUAAGGUCCAAUUUACGUCCUAUUAAGGUCCAAUUUACGUCCGAUUAAGGUCCAAUUUACGUCCGAUUAAGGUCCAAUUUAUGUCCGAUUAAGGUCCAAUUUACGUCCGAUUAAGGUCCAAUUUAUGUCCGAUUAAGGUCCAAUUUACGUCCGAUUAAGGUCCAAUUUACGUCCCCUAGGACGUCCGAUCAAGGUCCAAAUUACGUCCGAUUAAGGUCCAAUAUACGUCCCCUCGGACCUUAGAUGGACGUCCAAUGGACGUUCGGUAGCGCGACAUUUGGACCAAAAUAGGACGUAUAAAGGACGUUCCUCGGACGAAAACGGACGUCCAAUGGACGUCCCUAAAGUCCGUGAAGGACGUCCAAUGGACGUCCAUUGGACGUCCUUGUGCUAUUAGGGUAU
This 5061-nucleotide long non-coding RNA is filed under the name Diabrotica virgifera virgifera (western corn rootworm). RNAcentral's name for it is "uncharacterized LOC126881443". Lineage: Eukaryota; Metazoa; Arthropoda; Insecta; Coleoptera; Chrysomelidae. The record is from RNAcentral.